GACGUAGGGUGCAAGCGUUGUCCGGAUUUAUUGGGCGUAAAGAGCUCGUAGGCGGCUUGUUGCGUCGACUGUGAAAACCCGCGGCUUAACCGCGGGCUUGCAGUUGAUACGGGCAGGCUAGAGUUCGGUAGGGGAGACUGGAAUUCCUGGUGUAGCGGUGAAAUGCGCAGAUAUCAGGAGGAACACCAAUGGCGAAGGCAGCACUCUGGGCCGGUACUGACGCUGAGGAGCGAAAGCGUGGGGAGCAAACAGG
RNAcentral lists this ribosomal RNA (253 nucleotides) under uncultured bacterium. RNAcentral's name for it is "partial 16S ribosomal RNA". It matches the Rfam family "Bacterial small subunit ribosomal RNA", at positions 524 to 776 of the family's 1533-position model. The record is from RNAcentral.